RNAcentral lists this ribosomal RNA (254 nucleotides) under uncultured bacterium. RNAcentral's name for it is "partial 16S ribosomal RNA". It matches the Rfam family "Bacterial small subunit ribosomal RNA", at positions 524 to 775 of the family's 1533-position model. The record is from RNAcentral.
GACGAGGGGGACAAGUGGUGUUCACCUAACUGGGCGUUAAGGGUGCGUAGGCGGCCAUUGAAGUUUUAAGGAAAAUACUUGGGCUUAACUCGAGAAUACUUUAUUAUACUAUUUGGCUUGAGUUCAGGAAAGUGAAAUAGUACGGGCAUCUUGGAGAGUAAUAUUCGUUGAAAUGCUUCGGACUACUGUUCGGUGGAGACGGUUUCAUGGUUUUUAAACUGACGCUGAGGCACGAAGGCGUGGGUAUCGAACAG